GCUGGGACAGUUCUUGUGCCAGUGCAGAUGAUGAAGAACAUGACGACAGAGAGGAUGAAGAGGAAGAUGACGACGACUGCUGACUUGAGGAUUUGUUGUUGUUUUUGCUUUUUCUGCCACUUCGUGAAUCUGUGCUUGAUGAACUUAAUGUUUGUGUUAAUGUCGAUGCCAGAGCUGAUGAUGAAUACCCAGUUGAAUCUCUAGAUAAUGAAAAUUCUCUUCCAAGCUGAAAAUCAUUGUUCUUAAAUGCUUCGUAGCUGGCUUUUAAACUGGAUGUUCUUCUUCCUUCCUUCAUCUAAAAAAAAG
This 306-nucleotide long non-coding RNA is filed under the name Gallus gallus (chicken). Lineage: Eukaryota; Metazoa; Chordata; Aves; Galliformes; Phasianidae. The record is from RNAcentral.